UACGUAGGGUGCAAGCGUUAUCCGGAAUUAUUGGGCGUAAAGAGCUCGUAGGCGGUUUGUCGCGUCUGCUGUGAAAACUGGGGGGCUCAACCCCCCAGCCUGCAGUGGGUACGGGCAGACUAGAGUGCGGUAGGGGAGAUUGGAAUUCCUGGUGUAGCGGUGGAAUGCGCAGAUAUCAGGAGGAACACCGAUGGCGAAGGCAGAUCUCUGGGCCGUAACUGACGCUGAGGAGCGAAAGCAUGGGGAGCGAACAGG
This 255-nucleotide ribosomal RNA is filed under the name uncultured bacterium. Its description in RNAcentral is "partial 16S ribosomal RNA". It matches the Rfam family "Bacterial small subunit ribosomal RNA", at positions 524 to 776 of the family's 1533-position model. The record is from RNAcentral.